GAUGAACGCUGGCGGCGUGCUUAACACAUGCAAGUCGAACGAACUAAGGAGAGCUUGCUCUCCAAAGUUAGUGGCGGACGGGUGAGUAACGCGUGGGUAACCUGCCCUAUGCAGGGGGAUAACGUUUGGAAACGAACGCUAAUACCGCAUAAACUAUCGAGUUUCGCAUGAAACUUAUAGCAAAGAUUUAUCGGCAUAGGAUGGACCCGCGUUGGAUUAGCUAGUUGGUGAGAUAACAGCCCACCAAGGCAACGAUCCAUAGCCGGCCUGAGAGGGUGAACGGCCACAUUGGGACUGAGACACGGCCCAAACACCUACGGGUGGCUG
Molecule: ribosomal RNA, 327 nt
Filed under: uncultured Bacillota bacterium
Lineage: Bacteria; Bacillati; Bacillota
Description: bacterial SSU rRNA
Rfam family: Bacterial small subunit ribosomal RNA
Source: RNAcentral